This is a long non-coding RNA of Passer domesticus (house sparrow), 4418 nucleotides long. RefSeq lists it as uncharacterized. NCBI's taxonomy places the organism in Eukaryota, Metazoa, Chordata, Aves, Passeriformes, Passeridae. The record is from RefSeq and is a predicted model, not a curated record. The transcript has 3 exons.
GGGUGCAAAGGCAGAGGACUCAGCCCAGAUCUCUGCUGUGUGUGCAAGCCCCUGGCUCGUGGAGGUGUGGGUGAAAGAAAGAACUUUUGCUUUGAAAGAACUUAUGGAUGUGUGCAACACAAAGAGUAACAGAGCUGAUGGGCUGGGGAGAUGAAAAUGCCCUGCAGAAGUGACCCUGAGACUGAAGCCUGUAAAAACCAGGACCUUUGGAUUGAAAUUGCUCAUCAGUAAUCAGCAUCUGAAGACAGUCAUCUGCCUUGCUAAUGGACCACAGUUACAUGUGUAAUUGAUUAAUUAAGGAAAGAAAAUCACUGCUGAGACUAAGGGAGACAUCCACAGCUUCAGCAGGCAUCGACGUGAAAUAGCAGCUCCUCCUGGGCAAAGCAGAUGAGAUUGUUUCAGGUAUUUUUGUCCAUUUUAAACCACUCUAUCUUCUCUAUACAGGUUGUUGUUUGGUGUCCCAGACUUUUCUGUGGGGGUAAGAAGCAGGGAAAGCAAGAAACGCUCCAGCCCUCCUUUUCCAGCUGGCAGGAGGAGCAGAGUGUGGUUGGGUUUGAGCGUGUGUGUGUUUAUCCCCGUGCAGUCGCUCGUUGGCUUUGUGUGCAUGAGCAAUCACGUACGUGGAAAAAGGCAAUGGAGGGAACUCAAACAAACAAGCUCUUUGGCAAGCUCUGGGUGAGCAUGGUGGCGUCUGCUACUCUUUGCAAGCUGUGUUGUCAUGAUUUCCCUCCUGUGGAGGUUGUGCCUCCUGUCUCACCACUCAUUUCACCAGUUUGGAGCUACACCGAUGCUUUGCAGCGAAGCUCUUUACAGGGUCCUGGCUGAGGAGAGGUUUCACACACAGGCAGAGCCAAAUAUAAGCAUCUCAGCAGAUAUUUUGAACAAGGGAAAUGGUGCAGAGUCACCUCUGCUGAGCUCAUGGUGAGUGUACUGCUAGGCAGAGGAGCUGUGCUCCACUGGAGCUCUUACAAGGCAUAAACUCCUCCAAGAGCAGGAAGAAGUGGGACCUGAGGGGUUCUGCCUUCAGACAGCAUAGCUGGUGCUGAGGUCUUGCUUCUUCCACUUAAUACCUGACCUGAGAGUUUUCUUGCACUUUGAAAGAACUUCUGUAUGUUUCUAGUGAGAUCAGUACUAGGGGCUGCAUCUAAGAGAAAAUAAAAAGGCUUUAAUACUUCCCAUCACUAAAUUUAUUGUUUUUCUGUGGCUCUCAUUGCCUUAGUUUGAUCUUCACAGAGCUCCAGGCAGAUCCGAAGGUCAGGCAGAUUUUAUAUUAAAAAGAGCCAAAGUGUUGACAUUUGACAAAAAGCCCUAAACCUAUUUUUAGAUAAGCAUCUUGAGCCUUCUAAUAGCUGAACCUUUGGCAGUUCAGCCAGGCAGCCCAACCAAAGCCAGUUUUUAAUAUGCAGAGACUGAGCUGUUUAGCUUGGUCUCUUCAUCUGCCCAUUAGACACCUCCCAUUAGGCAUUGCCACUCCAGUUGUGCACUGGUCAACAAACUCUUGGAGAACAGAUGGCCCAGACAGAUUUUGUGUAGAGCAGAGUCAGGCAGUUUCAGUGCCUUUAUGUUCUUGAGGAUAUGGAUGGUGUGGGUACAGCUUUGGACUCCUCACUCCCUGUUCUCUGGCAUAAAUAUUCUCAUAACCAGCCCACUGCACACCCUCCAGGGGGCUGUUUCUGCUGAUGUUGAUGUGCACAUGCACUGUUUGUGUUAGUGAUGAGUUAUCUCAGUUGGUCAUGAAAAGCCAGGAACAUAACUGAGGCAUUGAAUGGUUUCCACUCAAAUCAUUUUAUUAGAUGAUGAAUUUUCAAGUGUUGGAAAUUGUAGGUAGGCAGCUACAAGCAAACAUCCCUAAGUUACCUUCUGAUUUUGUCACAUGUGAAUUUAGUUUUUAGGCAGCUAAAAUGAAGUAUAUGGAAAUUGUCUGGCUUUUAUGGCAGCUGUGAAUGAUUGCUAACCUCAAAAUUUUAUAAGCAGCAUUUUUGUGCAUUUAUUUCUCAGAGUUUAUGUCACAUUUGGAAAACAAAUUGAACUUUCUCCUCUCAGCUUCCUGGAGCUUUUGCUUGUGAGUGGCAAAGAUCUGAAGCUGGGUAUGUUUCCUUAACUGCACCUUAAAGUAUUUGCCUCUAACUGCUAUAAACAGCUAUAAUGAGCAGCCUUUUGGAGGUCACUUAGGCCUGCAUUGCUAUCCAGUGCCAAAUAAUGAUUUGGCAAAGCACUACACAACUGGGCUGAAUUUUAAGUAUGGCAUUAACUGUGUUUAACUCUGCUUGGUGUCAGUGGGGCUUACAAUGAGUUUUAAAUGUUUCACUGAACAAGGAUGGAUUCAAGCAGGUGCUUAUUACAAACAGCAUCACAAAAGCACCUGACUGAUUCGGGACCUAAGAGAGAUGAAUGGAGAGAGCUGCAGAGCAGCUGGUGUCCCUGCCUUCCUAGCAGUGCAAUUUCCAUCCAGGGAGCAAGUAAAAAUGGAAGGGAAAGAGAAAAACUAUUUUAAAUUAAAGGGAGAAAAAUACAUGUUGGGUCACUGUGGGUAUGUUUAGAGUGAUGUGUUGACUCUGACAGAUUCCUGCAUAUGGAUGUGUCCUUUCUUUGUGAGGGGCACUCUGUCUGCUGGUUAGGAAUGAUGGCCAAAUGGAAGGAUCAUCAGAAUAAGUGAAAUCUUAUUCACAGUCCAUAAAAUAGCAGGAGAGAAGUUCCUGGUCUUCUCAUUUAUGUCAGCUUUGAGACCAAGCCAGAAAACCUGUUAUUAUGGAACAACUUUGUAUGCGUGUGCAUGUACAUUGUGUGUCUGUGUAUGCAAAACCUGUCAUUGCCAGACACAAUAAUGGCAUUUUACUGGACAGAAAUGGAACUUUACUUGUCUUUUUGGGUUUUGAUUAUGAGAGGAACUGAGAGACCUGCUGACCCCUCAGCUUCACUGACUUAUGAUUGAAGCUUAUUUUAUUGUAGAUUUUGUUUUCUUACACAUUCAGAUGACAACAUGGUUCAGAAGGGAGUGCAUAAGUGAUGUCCAGAAUUCCUCAGUUUUCUUAAGGAUUAUGUAGUUUGUCUGUUGUCUGAUCGCUCUCAAACAAUUUAACUUCCAUCAUGGAUUUCUACUUUAUUUCUAAAAUAGCUAUUUCUGUACUGACUUAAGAGGCCCAUAUAAUCACAGACUGGUUUGGGUUGGAGGGGACAUUCUCAGAUUAUCUAGUCCAAACCUUCUGCCAUGGACAGGGACAUCCAGCCUGACUUUGAACAAUUCCAAAGGUCUGGCAGCCACAGCUUCUCUGAGCAACCUGUUCCCAUGUUGCACAUAGGGCAAUUUUGUGGUUUUCCUGUGUCUCCAGGACUAUAACAGUAGCUCAGUAUUGAACUCUCACUUCCCCCUUAUCUAGAUGGAAAUCUAUUUUGCACACACACACCACUCAGUUCAUGUUUUCAUCUCUUGGGAAUAUUUAGUCUUCUUAUGAAACCCAACCCAACACAAAGAAAUCAAUUAAUUCCGACUGGUGAAGACAAUGAUACUGCAGAAGGAAAAUAGAUGAGCAGCGGAUGUUUAGUCUAAUGGAUGAUGAAAAGCUAAAGCGUUUUAAACACUGAUUUAUUACCACUGAGACCAACAGCGGGACUUAGAGAGAAGAAGAACUGCAGCUCCACGUUUUGCUGGCACCUCCAUUUUCCAGGUUGGAGCCAAAGUUCUGUCCCAGCUGGUUAACAGGGACAGUGCCUGUGAGGCACAGCAGGUACCCUGUGAGGCAGGGGGACUGUUUAAAGCCAGGGGCCAAUUCUACCCUGAUCCAAGGAGAAGAAAGGUGGCAAGAAUAUGCUCAUGACUACAGACUAAAUCCAGAGAAAACAGAAUGGAGGAUAAGUAAACGUUGACCUGAUAGCAGUGAACAGGAGAGGCAGGGACAUCUGCAGAGCAUCCUCUCAGUCCUGAUUUGCAGAGGGUAAUGAUGGCAAGCUCUCAGUUCCUCCUCAUGCAAUUCAGAUCUGCCACAAUAGAAGCAGUCUAAAGUAUCCUUGGAGCUGUUCCAGCUGUCAGAGACCAGCCUGGUAGCAUCUCACGUGUGUUUGAUCCAACGUGGAAUUGUCUGAGCUUGAGGAAAAAGGGAGGGUGAAUCCUAGGCUGGACUUGAGGGAAGAGUUCAGAUACAGCUGCUGCAACUUCCCUGGAAAACUGCACUUUUAGGAGCAUGUCUCCUUCCACCUCCUCUGCAGUGGUAAAUGCAGAGGCUUUCUGGCAUCACUCUGUCUCCUGUACAGGGUUAUAAAAGUGCACUUAAGCACUGAACCAUUUUACAGCCCUGACCACCCCAGCUACAAUGAAAUAGAUUAACAAUGCUCCUUGUGGAUCCCUUCCAAUGCAGGACAUUGUAUUAUUCUUGCAACCUUCAUUUCAUCUCCAAAAAGAACAGAGAACAGUCUGUUUUGUG